UUGGUGGUAGUAGCAAAUAUUCAAGUGAGAACCUUGAAGACUGAAGUGGGGAAGGGUUCCAUGGUAACAGCAGUUGGACAUGGGUGAGUCGGUCCUAAGAGAUAGGGGAACUCCGUUUCAAAGUGUGCGCUUGUUCGCACGGCCUAUCGAAAGGGAAUACGGUUAAAAUUCCGUAACCGCAAUGUAGAUUCUGAACGGCAACGUAAAUGAACUUGGAGACGCCGGUGUGGGCCCUGGGAAGAGUUAUCUUUUCUCCUUUACAGCUUAUAACCCUGGAAUCGGAUUAUCCGGAGAUAGGGUCUAAUGGCUGGUAGAGCAUUGCUAUUUUGUAAUGUCCGGUGCGUCCACAACGGCCCUUGAAAAUCCGAGGGAAUGAAAAAGUCUUACAUGCGAUCGUACCCAUAUCCGCAUCAGGUCCCCAAGGUGAUCAGCCUCUAGUCCAUAGAAUAAUGUAGAUAAGGGAAGUCGGCAA
Molecule: ribosomal RNA, 472 nt
Filed under: Chloropicon roscoffensis
Lineage: Eukaryota; Viridiplantae; Chlorophyta; Chloropicophyceae; Chloropicales; Chloropicaceae
Description: partial Eukaryotic large subunit ribosomal RNA
Rfam family: Eukaryotic large subunit ribosomal RNA
Source: RNAcentral